UACUGAAGGUGCAAGCGUUAAUCGGAAUCACUGGGCGUAAAGCGCUCGUAGGUGGCUUUGUAAGUCAGAUGUGAAAGCCCACGGCUCAACCGUGGAAUUGCAUUUGAUACUGCAUCGCUAGAGUAUAGGAGAGGGAAGUGGAAUUUCUGGUGUAGGAGUGAAAUCCGUAGAGAUCAGAAGGAACACCGGUGGCGAAGGCGACUUCCUGGACUAUUACUGACACUGAGGAGCGAAAGCGUGGGGAGCAAAC
Molecule: ribosomal RNA, 250 nt
Filed under: uncultured bacterium
Lineage: Bacteria
Description: partial 16S ribosomal RNA
Rfam family: Bacterial small subunit ribosomal RNA
Source: RNAcentral